UUCACAAAGCCCCUGAUAUUCACAAAGUGAGAUCAUGAUAUCCUACCUGAGCUCAUUGUCAACCCUGAACCCUUUCCUUCGGGCCAGCUCCAUGAGGAAUGCUCUGCGGGUGGUACCCAUUUUCUUCUCCAAAAUGAAGAGGACCAAAUCUUGAAAUUUGAUGUCAUGAGAAGUGGAGGCCAUCGAGUGUGUAGAUCUCAUUUCCUGAACACCUGCUAUGUGGCCAAGGCAAGCACCUACAAGCCUGAGCUGAUUGAAUCCUCACACCACCAUUGUCAGCACAACCAGACCCAGCCUCAUUGUGCCCUUCAGAGGUACCAGCACCAGCCAGACAACGUCUUCUCAAAAGUUUGAGUCCCAGCUCUGCAUGGUUUUUCCUAUCAACUUCUAUAGCACUAGCAGCAACUGGCAGCACCCCCUUGUCAGAGAUCUAUAUUCCAGCUCCAUGGGGACUUCCGCUCCAAACUUCCAGCCUUCAACUCCAUCCCUUUGUUGCCUUAGUCCUAGGGGUG
Galeopterus variegatus (Sunda flying lemur) is the source of this 512-nucleotide long non-coding RNA. RefSeq lists it as uncharacterized. Lineage: Eukaryota; Metazoa; Chordata; Mammalia; Dermoptera; Cynocephalidae. The transcript is spliced from 3 exons. The record is from RefSeq and is a predicted model, not a curated record.